AGUGAACGCUGGCGGCAGGCCUAAUACAUGCAAGUCGAACGGCAGCACGGCAGAGCUUGCUCUGUGGGUGGCGAGUGGCGGACGAGUGAGGAAUACAUGGGAAUCUGCCCAGUCGUGGGGGAUAACGUAGGGAAACUUACGCUAAUACCGCAUGCGCCCUUCGGGGAAAGCCGGGGACCUUCGGGCCUGGCGCGAUUGGAUGAGCCCAUGUCGGAUUAGCUAGUUGGCGGGGUAAUGGCCCACCAAGGCGACGAUCCGUAGCUGGUCUGAGAGGAUGAUCAGCCACACUGGAACUGAGACACGGUCCAGACCUCCUACGGGAGCAGCAGUAGGGAAUAUUGGACAAUGGGCGCAAGCCUGGAUCCAGCCAUGCCGCGUGAGUGAAGAGG
This 389-nucleotide ribosomal RNA is filed under the name uncultured bacterium. RNAcentral describes it as "bacterial SSU rRNA". It matches the Rfam family "Bacterial small subunit ribosomal RNA", at positions 29 to 413 of the family's 1533-position model. The record is from RNAcentral.